This 207-nucleotide ribosomal RNA is filed under the name uncultured bacterium. RNAcentral describes it as "partial 16S ribosomal RNA". It matches the Rfam family "Bacterial small subunit ribosomal RNA", at positions 568 to 774 of the family's 1533-position model. The record is from RNAcentral.
CGUGUAGGCGGCCAGGUAGGUCCGUUGUGAAAACUCGAGGCUCAACCUCGAGACGCCGGCGGAAACCCUUUGGCUAGAGUCCGGAAGAGGAGAGUGGAAUUCCUGGUGUAGCGGUGAAAUGCGCAGAUAUCAGGAAGAACACCCGUGGCGAAGGCGGCUCUCUGGGACGGUACUGACGCUGAGACGCGAAAGCGUGGGGGAGAAACA